RNAcentral lists this long non-coding RNA (420 nucleotides) under Panax ginseng (ginseng). Its description in RNAcentral is "long non-coding RNA (PGIN_LNC000304)". Lineage: Eukaryota; Viridiplantae; Streptophyta; Magnoliopsida; Apiales; Araliaceae. The record is from RNAcentral.
UUUGAUUGGUCGAGGAAUAUUCGUCUUAACAGGGAAUAUUCGUACGACGACACAAUCAUUGGUGGACCCCACAACGAAAUUAUUGUCGGAUUGAGAAAACGACAAAAAUAUUUUAUGAAAAUAAUGGCGGAAGUUUUAUCGUUAACUGUUGAAACACCCGGUGUUAAUAGUACAGGAAUACGCGUGGUUGCCUAGUAGCACACGGUAUUGCUUACGUGAGAAGUCACUCAGUUUUGUUUAAUUAUUGCUUCAGUAAUUGUUGCAUAGUAUCUCACGUUAAUUGAUUCAAUUAUUGUCGAUAUUUUAUAUAUUAUUAAAUCAAUAAUUGAGACGACGAAGUUAUUAAUAUUAUUAUUUGCAAUAUUAACGAUGUCUAGAAUUCUGCCAAGGAGAGGUUUGGUCACCUACUUGCGCGCCAAU